AUCAUAAUUUAAGUAGAAUAAACUACUGGAUCCAAAGAAACAUUAAGUCACAGCUAUUCUUUUUGGUCCCAAAUUCACAAGUAUGGAAAUAGAAACUACAAAGAAUCAAAACUGUAAGGAAAAAUAAUUCAGCUAAUUUUCAAAACAGUCACAGAAUCGUCAUACUAACAUGUAGGACUAAAUAACCAAUGGCAUGGAGUUUACAUCAUGUUCAUCAUGAGAAACUCAACAACAAGGCAGCAAAUAAGUGAUGAGACACGGCAGUCCAAUUUUGUCUCAAAAGAAGGACUCUGACUCUCUAACUAUCCAGGUAGGUGACAAAAAGUGAUAAUUCACACACAUUCAAUUCACAUUCUGGUGCUUAUAUUUUUUCAAAUGUUCCAUGCAAAAUACCACUCACUGCAUGCAAACAGAGAAAAAAGAAAACCCACAAAGCACAAGUAAAAAUUGCAUAAGCAUGACUUAAAGACAUUUUACUAUCUAUGAAGCUAUAAACAACCCCACCUGAAAAUUAAAAACUUAUCACAGAUGCAUCACUAUGUAAAAUAUGAAAAUGAAAACAUGUAAAAAUACAAGGGGAAUGCAGAAUCCAGAAGGUUUAAAACACAGAUUGCUAUUUUUCGGUAAAGAAAGGGAGAUAAUGUCAUGUUCUCCCAAACUACAGUGACUUCCCUGGUGAAAUGUAAAUAGGUAAUCCUUUCUGUAGGAAAAUAGUGAAGAUGUAUCAAAAUCUUAAAAACAUGAACACUGUAUGAAUGAGAUCUUGUGGGAAAUAAUUUGAAAAUUUUACAAAAGUGCAUUGUUUCUGUAUCUGAAAAAAAUCAACAUGUCUAAUAAAAGAUUACUUAAAUGAACUAAUGGAUCACACAGUAAAAUUAAAACUAUCAAGAUUUGAAUUGGAUAAGGAAUAGUCUUCCUGAUCUAUCACCUACUGACAAAAGUCAGUUACAAAAUAGCAGGCGUAGGAUGAACCCAUUAUUUCAAAGCAUCAAUAGUAUUUUCUCUGGUUGAUGUGAUUAAAUGAGUUAUAAAACUUCUUCCAUCUUUUGAUUUCUUAUUCAUUCCUUCUAUAUUAAAGCAUGCUGCUUGCAUAUGAAAAAUUAAUAAAUAUGAUAAAAGGAAAAUGAGCAGUUUUAAACUUGAUCUACAUGAUUUGGAUGGCCCCAAGAUUUACAAAAUUGUCUCUGAUUUUUAAAAAAUUAUCAAAGUCAAAAUACCAAAACACUCAAGAUACAUUUUAAUGUGAACUUCUGUACUAAAAUAACCUCCCCAAAACUUGUCAGAUAAAUAGUAAUUCUUUAUAUACUACAUAGGAGGAGAGUGACCAUCACAAACAGAACAAGACUGAAAAAUUAGAAGACCUGCAUUAAGUGUCAUCCGUCUGUCUCUAAGUAGUUGUUGGAUCCUAGGGAAAUAAUUCUCUGGGCCUCAGUUUUCCCACCUGUAUAAGUCCCUUCAGUUCUAAUUCUAAAAUUAUUCUAUGUAACAUGGAGAUGAGCAAGAAACUAGUAUUUGUUGGAUGCCUGAUAACAUACUAGACACACUGCUGGGCACUCUGACAUAGGUCAUCUCAUUUGAAAACCAAGACGUUGAGGAUUAUCUUCAGUCCACAAGCCAAAGACAGAAACAGAACUGGUGUCAAAUCAUGAAACCACCAUCACAAAGAAAGUACAGAACUAAGGCCAGAAUAGGAGUCUUUCAGCUUCAGAGUCCAAGUCAUUUUGACUAUAUUGUUUUGCAGAAGGUGGUGGAGUCUAUGGCCCUUCUGCUUGAAUCUUGAGUGAAAUCUGUGACUCUUUCAAUCCAAAGACUACAGUAAUACCACAACUAUCUACAGAGGACUGGUUCCAGGACUCCCAUGGAUACCAAAAUCCAAGGAUGCUUCGAGUCCCUUACAUAAAAUGGCACAGUAUUCGCCUAUAACCUACAUGCAUCUUCAAAUAUGUUAAACCAUCUCUAGCCUACUUAAUAGUACCAAAUACAAUGUAAAUGCUACAUAAACAGUUGUUAUAAUGUAUUGCCAAAGACAAGCUCUCCUUGCCAAUCCCUGACCAAACAAGAGAUUCAUGAGCAAAAUAAAUCAUUGCUAAUAUUUAAG
Molecule: long non-coding RNA, 2098 nt
Organism: Cebus imitator (Panamanian white-faced capuchin)
Lineage: Eukaryota; Metazoa; Chordata; Mammalia; Primates; Cebidae
Exons: 2
Source: RefSeq, a predicted model, not a curated record